RNAcentral lists this transfer RNA (82 nucleotides) under Dichomitus squalens. RNAcentral's name for it is "tRNA-Asp". The record is from RNAcentral. Lineage: Eukaryota; Fungi; Basidiomycota; Agaricomycetes; Polyporales; Polyporaceae.
UCUCUGUUAGUAUAUCGGAUAGUACACGCGCCUGUCAUCAAUCUGAUCGCGCGAAAGCGGGGUUCGACUCCCCGACAUAGAG